Molecule: ribosomal RNA, 253 nt
Filed under: uncultured bacterium
Lineage: Bacteria
Description: partial 16S ribosomal RNA
Rfam family: Bacterial small subunit ribosomal RNA
Source: RNAcentral
UACAGAGGGUGCAAGCGUUGCUCGGAAUCAUUGGGCGUAAAGGGUAGGUAGGUGGUCUCAUUUGUCUGGGGUGAAAGCCCAGGGCUUAACCCUGGAAGUGCCCCGGAAACGGUGAGACUGGAGUACUGGAGAGGGUCGUGGAAUUCCCGGUGUAGCGGUGAAAUGCGUAGAUAUCGUAAGGAAGACCAGUGGCGAAGGCGGGUCUCUGGACAGUUCCUGACGCUGAGGCACGAAGGUCAGGGGAGCAAACGGG